RNAcentral lists this ribosomal RNA (249 nucleotides) under uncultured bacterium. Its description in RNAcentral is "partial 16S ribosomal RNA". It matches the Rfam family "Bacterial small subunit ribosomal RNA", at positions 559 to 793 of the family's 1533-position model. The record is from RNAcentral.
CGUAAAGACGCAUGCAGGUGGUUUGUUUAAGUUCAGAUGUGAAAGACCCGGGGCCGUCAACCUACCGGAAUAAGCAUUUGUAAACUAGGCAGACUAGAGUACUGUAGAGGGGGGUAGGAAUUUCAGGUGUAGCGGUGAAAUAGCGUAGAGAUCUGAAGGAAUACCGGUGGCGAAGGCGGCCCCCUCGGACAGAUACUGACACUCAGAUGCGAAAGCGUGGGGAGCAAACAGGAUUAGAUACCCUGGUAG